GGAAGCUACUCUGUCUUCAGCAAUCAGGGAGGACUGGUACAUCCCAAGACUUCAAUUGAAGACCAAGAUGAGCUGUCUUCUCUUCUUCAGGUCCCCCUUGUGGUAAGCAUUCCUUUCUCUGAUCUCUGUCUCCUCCUGAGGCAAAUCCUUUGCCUAGCAUUAAGGAUCUGAGUUAUUAUCUGUCACAGUUUGCGAUUGGGGAUGCAGGUCAAGGAGCGGGGUUUGGGGAUAGUCCUCGCCAGGGAGUGGCAGGACUGUGGCUUUUGGUGCCAUGAUCCACACUGAGCUCUCCCUUGGCAGGCAGGCACUGUGAACCGAGGCAGCGAGGUAAUUGCCGCUGGGAUGGUGGUGAAUGACUGGUGUGCCUUCUGUGGCCUGGACACAACCAGCACAGAGCUGUCAGUGGUGGAGAGUGUCUUCAAGCUGAACGAAGCCCAGCCUAGCACCAUUGCGACCAGCAUGCGGGAUUCCCUCAUUGACAGGUAUCUGGGUCUCUCUUCUGCCUUUGGAGGGUAGAGGAGGGAGAUGCCACCUAGGAUGGGUCCACACUGCAUUCAUACUGGUAGGUCCUUGUGUGUGAGGGCACACCUGUGCAUUGCUGAGCAGUCACAAGGUACAGCCAGUGAGCAUUGCCUGAGUGUCUGCUCAUCCCCAUCUUUGAAGACUCAGCUCAGUGUCCCCUCUCUGGGCAAAGCUUCCCUCUGGUCUGUCUUAUUUUCUCACUGACCACAUUGUUUUGUAGUUUGUGUGUGCUUGUGUGUCGGUGUCCCCAGCCAGCAGCCCAGAGCCUGAGACCAAAAAGAGCUGUUUGCAGAGGGAAGGAGGGGAAGUUGCUCUUAGAAACUAAGGAGACCCUAAAGGACUUGUUGGGGGUGGUGAUUGCAUCAAAAUCACAAUCGUCUGGAUUUUUGUGGGUUUAAGAAAAAAGUGGGAUCUUGGGCCUAACCCUGGAGGUUCUGGGGUAUGAGGCUCUGGAAUCUCUUUUUCCUUUGGAGGAGCAGCAGGUGCUGAUAUUUACCUUUUCCCAUUGAGGAUUCUUCUCAAGGCAUGCCACACCCAAGUAUCCCAGCAAUCUUUAUGAGGAUAGAAACCCCAUAUGCCCAUAGUAGAGCAAGUACCCAGUGACAGACCCCCUACUUUACAACAGGCAAAAUUACCCUUCAUUCUCCCUUCUUCAUUCAUUUGUUCAUCUGAUGUUCACUGAGCCCUGUCGAUAGGGCUCCAUGUAGGAUAGGCAGGCAACUUAGCCCUGUGUCCUGCCUCUAGGAGCUCACAGUGUAGCCGAGAAGUUGUAGAGGCCACACGUAACUCUUCACUGCCUUCAAAGAAGAGAUAAAAGGUGCCUUAGGUGGCUCAGGAAGCUCCAGUGAAACACUCUGGUAUCCCGGAAGGUUUUGUCGGGGGCAAAUCAUUUAGUCUGGGCCCAGGGGAAUGAGUAGACAUUUGAAUAUGCAGAGAUGGAGUAGGAAAGCACUUCAGACAGACCCAGAGGUGGGAAAGUAUGGAGAGUGUGAAAGGGCAAGGUAAUAUUGUCAGAGUGUCAAAGACCCUCAAUUCCCAUGUCAAGAAGUUUUGACUGUAGGCCUGUGAUUUUUGACCUUUAGUCUAUGUUGGGAUGCUUGUUAAUAUAGAUUCCUGGCAUCACCCCCCAGUUACCAAUUCACUCUGGAGUGAGACCCAACCAUGUUUGGUUUAUUUUAAUAAGUUUCUCUGGGUAAUUCUGAUGGGGAAUCAGAAUUGAGAGAAUAGUUGAAAGGGUCUGAACAGGAAAGUGGUACAGUAGUUCUGUCAUUUGUUCAGUAGCUUUUUUUUGAACGUGCCAGAAAAUUGUGAUUUGGUGAAUAAGAUAUACCCACCCUGCCCUUGUGGAACAUAGAAUCUUACAAAGAAGGCAGUACAUACACAAUCAUUUAAUUAAAGGACAAAACAACAACAACACCUUUUAGCCUAAGAACAGAAAGAAAUUUUUGCAAUCUGUAAUUGGUACCUACCAAGAAAACUACAGCAAAUGUUGUAUUUAAUGGUAAAACUUCAGAAAUUGCUCUUAAAGUCAGGCAGAAUUGCCCACAGUGACCAGUACUGGUCAGUAUUUUGGUGGUUCUUGCUUAUGCAGUUAGGUAAGGAACAGAAAUGGAUACUGGAAAGGAAGAGCCAAAACUCAUUAUCCUUCUUUGGUUUUGAACCUGUUGAGUUUGAGGUGCCCAUGAGAGCUGAUAAUGAAGGUGUCAGGUAGUUGAUUAGAAGUAUGUACUUUAGGGGCGCCUGGGUGGCUCAGUUGGUUAAGUGUCCGACUUCAACUCAGGUCACGAUCUCGCGGUCUGUGAGUUUGAGCCCCACGUCGGGCUCUGGGCUGAUGGCUCAGAGCCUGGAGCCUGCUUCCGAUUCUAUGUCUCCCUCUCUGUCUGUCCCUCCCCCGUUCGUGCUCUGUCUCAAAAAUAAAUAAAUGUUACAAAAAAAAAUUUUUUUUUAAAGUAUGCACUUUAGUUUUAUAAUUGUACAUGUAUUUUAUAUCUCCUGUAAUUUUUCUUUUGUUAAAUGUUUAUUUUUGAGAGAGAGUGAGAGACAGAACAUGAGCAGGGGAGGGGCAGAGAGGGGGACACACAGAUUCCGAAGCAGUCUCCAGGCUCUGAGCUGUCAGCCCAGAGCUCUAUGCAGGGCACGAACUCACAAACCAUGAGAUCAUGACCUGAGCUGAAGUCAGACACUUAACUGACUGAGCCACCGAGGCUCCCCUGUAUACGUACUUAUUACCUCCAGAAAGAAUGUUCUGGCCUCAUCCCUGCCACUGAGGGAUUUGUGGUCUGGGCACAUCCCUUCUCUUGUGAAUCCCCUUACUCCCUUCUCUGAUGUUUGCUGGACUUGAGUUCUGAGGCUCUGGUUUGUGAUUGAUAACAGUGAACAAAUUGAGUUGAGUGGGGAAGGAGUUACUGUUAGUUUUUAAGCAUUGAGAGUUCUGACUGGAUUGUGACUCAAGGAAGCAGUGUAAUCUGGAAAGGGCUCUGAAUGUGGCUCUUCAGGGCUGAGCUGGAACAAAGGGGUGAGGGUGGAGGCAAGCAUCUUAAGAAUAAAGGGUGGGGUAUGCUCUGAGAAGCACCUACUGACAGUGUUCCUUCUCUCUCUAGCCUCACCUGAGUUACCUUCCAUUGCUGUUCUGCGGGUUCCUGCCUCUGGACUUUGGCUCCCUCUGCCCCACCCAGCCAGGCAGCCAGUUGGCAGAGAACUGACUGGGAGUGAGUGGCUGAAUGCCCAGCUCUUCACCUGUGCCCAUCUCCUGAAUCUACAGUUACUUCAAACAUCUGCCAUGUUGUGCUGUCUGUCAGGCCUUAACGGCUCCUGACUGACCACUCUCUUUCCUGUACCACCCCCAUUAAAAGGCAGCCUGGCUAUUCUUGAAUGUGUUGUUUGGGGGCCUCCACCUGCAACCCUCCUUCCCUAGCAUUGUUCUGGGGGAAAGUGGGUAGGACACACACACACACACACACACCCCUCCCACCCACCCACCCCCACCCCCCCAGUCUCACAAUUUCCCACCCUCCUCCCGGGAUCAUCAGGAUGGGGGUUGAUGAUUGUCCCAGGGCAAGAGGAGGAAGCACUCUCUACUGUAGUUCUAGCCUUUUCCAUGCGACUUCAGUCUCCUACUUCUGGGGUUGAAGAGAUGAGAAUGUUCCAGCUCUCCUCUAGGCCCGAAUGAGGACCUGUAAGGGGUCUGGAACACCUGGCUUCAGGGCAGUCUUGUCUUCUUUGACCAAGGUGGAUGGAGAUUGCUGGCCUGGCUGCCAGGUGCCAUGGAGAUUCUCAGAAAACUGGCAGGCGCCUUCCCUUAGCUACAGUGCCUGUGGAGCCAGGAAGCGUCUGGAUGAGUCCUUUGUGGCUUGUGGGGGCGGCUCCUUCAGUCUCUUGCUGUGUGCGGGGCGGGGCCCCGCGAUGUUGGAGCAGCAUUGGCCAGUUACUGGUGGGUGGGGUCGGGUACGCAACCCCGCAGCAGCGGCUAGGGGGCGGGGCCUGCGUGCGGUGAGGUCACGACGCCGGCUCCUCCCAGCGCAAGUACGCAGGCCAGCGGAGUGCAGUCGCCGGCUCUGGGACCUUGGAGACCCGUGGCUCGCGUGGUGAGAGAGGAGGGUCGGGCCGGGGCGUGGCGGGACGACCGGGUCGCGUGCAGCUGACCCGCAUCUAACGGCUUCUCUUUGCAGACGAUGGGUGCUCGGCUGAGCGGCGGCCAGGGCGCCCCAGAGCCCGUGCAGGCCCAGCCCCAGCCCCAGCCCCAACCCGGGGCGCCCGAGGCCCCUGAUCGGCCCCAGCCUGAACCCAGUCCCUGGGGGCCACUGGACGAUGUGCGCUUCCUCAUCACCUGCACCUCCUGGUACUGACUCGACACCCUCCGCAGUUACUGCCAGCUGCCAACUGUCGUUGUGCUGUUAUGUUCCUCUGUUGUCCUUUUCCAACCCCGGCGCCCAGGACAGGCUCGGAGAGUCGAGGAGAUAGAUCACGGAGGACUGGAAGGAGGUCUCGGCAGGGCCUCUUCGGCAGCCUCGCCAUGGGGCACUGGCUCGCCUCUAGUUCCUUCCGAAUUUGUUCGCUUCUUAGCCUGCACCCAAACCAGCUUAAACCUUCGUGCUCACCCCCACCCUACAGCUUCUCCAGCCGUCUGGGUUCUGGGGCAGCCCUCCCUGGCCCUGGCUUCCAGAACCAGGCCAGGACUCCUGGUAAGACCCCAAGACUGCUGACCUCACCUCCUCUCGUCUGUUCCUUAUUGCUAAGAACCGGGCUGUUGCUUUUGUCCCUGGUUAUGGCACCAUGUGCCUUGGCUUCGGAGAAGACCUUGCCACCCACAGUGACCCUCCCUGUACUUCUCCUGGGGGGGGGGCUUGCUCUGCCAUCCUGGAUCCCAGUGAGGCAUUAUCAGGUUGUGUUCCAGGAACCCCAGUAACACUGGGCCUCUGGGGCCAGCCUUUUUGAGAGAGGGGACAUUUGAUUGCUGGGCUGGUAGAUGAGAUGCAUGGGACAGUUCCCAGACACCCCAAAGCACCCUGUUCCCCCUCUCCUAGAAGUUUCUUAAGGCCACUCCCAGAACCUGAUCCUUGUUCCUAUAUCCCAAGAAAACAACACACUCUGUAUUUUUGUUUUAUUUAGAAAUGAUUUAAAAAACAUUAUACAAAGGCUGAUCAGUUUAAAAUGUGACCGACACUGAAAUGCUGUGAUAUUCCCCGGGCCGAGGGGAAGCUGGGCUCUGGGGUCCCCAGUGCAGUGCCCCUUUGUCUGUCUGCCCUGUCCUGGGGUGAUGGACAAACAGAUGACCACAAGACAGGAGAAUCUGAGAUUGGAAGCCUCCAGGCUGAGCCCUCUCUGGGCCUGGCCCUGCAUCCCUCACAUCUGCAGCCUGAGCUGCCUGCCUCCAUCUCCUGCUCUUUCUCAGCUGGCCUUGGUAGUACCAGGAGCCAAUGGGGAGCCUGGGGAGCCUAGAGCUUUCAAAAAGAGAGAGCACCAACCUGAGGAGUGGAGAGGGACCGGGAAGGGGAGAAGGGAGGCCAGGAAAAGAUGGAUAAAAGAGACACUUCUGAUCUCAUCUUGGACCCUAGAGGGGUCCAUAGGUGGGGACCCAAGGCCCAGCCAGCCCACCCGAUGGCCUGGGCAAGAAACAAUCUCUCUGUGCUUCAUUUGAGGGCACGGUGAGAGUUACCCUAGGCUUCCCAGGGCCUGCACGAGUUUCAUGUGAGUGGACAGGUAUGAGCUAAUAAAGUGCUUUGCAAAGUAUAAAACACUAUACAAACCUAUGAAUCACUAAUAUCUCUGCAGUUGUUCCCCACCCACCCUAGGGAGCCCGCCCUUGGUCAAAAUGAGAAAAGACAGAAGGAUGAUGCCCGGGAACAUAGUGGACCCACAUAGGUGCCUCUGGGACAAGAGAGAUUUUGCUCAAGACAGCUCCCAGGGCAAUAGUAGUCCCUGUCUGCUACAGGUUAAGCCAACCCAAAGCCCAGAGGCCACAGGGUAGGGGCGAGACCCAUGCAGGCCCAGAGGGCCAGAGUGGCAUCGGAGACUCUGCCAGCACCCUGAAGAUGUACCACCUUUUGGCUUUGGCAGAGAGCCAGUGGGCAUCACUGAACCCAUUAGUCUUGCCUAGGGCUCUUCAGUGACAAACAGGGCUGCCUCCACUGGGUUGGAGUGAGGCAAGCUGAGCCCUAGCAAUUCCAGAGACUGUGAAGGAUGGGCCCCUAGGAUUGGGACUGCAAUGCAGGCAGAUGGGCCCAGUGAGCAGGGUUAGCAAGGGCCAAGCUUGUAUAAACACUGCUUCCAAGCUGAGAGAUUGAGUUGGCCUCAGGGUAACUGGGGGUGUGGGCUCUGAACACUUGAGAAGGCUGCCCUGGGCCCAUUACCCCCAAAGCCAUGAGAAUGUUGGCCUGGAGCCAUUUCUGCCUCACCUAGCUAGUCAGGCUGAGCCCCAGGCCAUAAGCAACAGGGCUGGGGACUGGGAGAAUGGGGAGAGGGACAGAGAAGUGGAGGAUAGUCAGAACUCAGAUCAGCCUCCAGAGAUGGGAUCAGCUCCUGCCCCAGACCUUUAGCCUCAUGAGCAGGUCCAGCUCCUGGGGUGUCUAGGCGCUAGAGUGGCCUUAGCAGCACCUUGGUCCUUGUCUCCUGGGGAAGGGCCGGCCACGCUGGCCUCAUCACCAAGAUAGUCACCUCUAAUUCACCUAACGCCUCAAACAGCCUUUGCAGAAUGGGACUUUUAAAACAGUAGUAACAGGACAUUUAAAUAUUCACGACAUGACAGCUGGGUCCUUGUCAGACCCUGCUGGGCCACAGCACUGCCUGCAACAUGUGACCCUAAAUCCUAGAUCUCAAAGGAGACCCUGAUGUGGAGCAGGUUUCCUGAGGGAUCUGCUGUAUGCCAGCAGCGGAAACCCGGGCUUGUUGCCCGCCAUGUUGGCAGCAGGGGUCUUGUAGCCUUGGAGGACAGUGGGGUGGGGGCAGGGGGACAUCUGACCAGCAGGUGUUGGCAAAGGGGGACCAGGAUUGGUGGCAUCUCCCAGAGGGGGCUGAGAGUGCUAGUGCUGGCUUCCACAGAAGGUGCUGGGUCCAGCCAGGAACAGAGCUGUGGUGCCUCAUUGAUAACCACAGGAUGCAGUGACCACAGGGCCUCCUCCUGGCAUGGUCCCUGCCUCCUGAUGGGGCCUGGCCUAUUCCCUUGCGUAGGGAGCAGUUCACCCAGGACAGAAGGCUGGCAACUGGCUGCCAGACACCCACCCUGGGGCACAGCCACCAUCACUCCCUGCCUCAUGCUCAGCCUAGGCCAAUGUACCUACCACUUCAGCUGCACGACCCCUGGCCUAGGGCCCUUCUGGCCCCGGUGGGCAGUGGCCAGAGCUGCCCCUGAGACCCUGAUGAGGAAGGGCCUGGCUGGCCAGACCGAGUGGACAGAGAGGGCUCUGGGCUGCUCACACCCACUCCUGGACUGGCCGCUUAUAGUAGGUGACAGGCUGAGGGCCUGCCUUGUUCUUGAACUGGAAGAUGGUGUAGACCAGCACCAGGAUGCAGAGGGACAAGAUGCAGGGGAUGACCACAGCCACGGCAUUCACAGAGCCUGGUACGUCAUUGAUGGUCACCAUGAUGUCCACAUCGUCCUGGGGCAGCCGCCGCUCCUUCCGCCGUUCCACCUCCUUCUGGUUGCAGCCCAUCCAGUCACGUAGGAUGUUGCGUGGAUAACCUGGCUCCACACUCAGUUUCUGGUUGUCAAACUUCCAGUAGUCCCGGCCCUUGUAGAAGUAGGUGUAAUCUGCAGAAACAUGGUCCAGCAUCACUACUCCCAGGUACUGCCCUGCACCUGCUCUGGGCCAGAGUGAGAGGGCAUAGGGUGCUGUGGCAGUGUGGAAGAAGGACGCCUCUCCCACCCUGGCGUCCCAGAGGAGCUUUGAAGGAGGGGUGGGCAUAUGAAGUGGUGGGAGCAGCGUGUUGGGUCGCUUGCAGGUGGGGGGAGGGCAGUGUGUAGCACACUCUGCCAACAGUGUGACAGGGUCUCGGAGUGUGACCUGCACGGUUGCAAAGAGGUGCGCCCAGGACCUGGAGCAGCCUGGCCUGUCAUCUCACAGGUGCCAGGAAGCCACUGAGGGGCUUUAAGUAGAAUUGAUAAGUUCAAUUUGUGCCUCCCUACCUUAUAACCCUCCCCUCCACCCGCCCAUGUUGGUGAGAUCAAGCUCCCAACUAUGGCUUGGACAGCACUGCCUUCAUAGCUCUAGAGCCUCAGUCUAGCUUCUGUUUGAGGCAAGGGAGGCAGGGAGCCAGGUUUCUCCUUUGGUUGACAGCGGACACCACCUUUUCACAGUUGUGGCUUUUCUUUGGCUUGCAUCACAACACAGAUGCAAGGUCUCUGGGACACUGCUGGGGAAGAGGCUAGAAAGAAAGGAGGUGGAGACUGGGGCACCUGGGUGGCUCAGUCAGUGAAACAUCUGACUCUUGGUUUCGGCUCAGGUCAUCAUCUCACAAUUCAUGAGUUUGAGCCCCUCAUCGGGCUCUGUGCUGAUAGCCUGGAUCUUGCUUGGGAUUCUCUCUCUCUCCCUCUCUCUUUGCCCCUCCCCUACUCACACUGUCUCUAUAUCUCUCAAAAUAAAUAAACUUGAAGAAGAAGAAGAAGGAGGAAGAGGAGGAGGGGGAGGAGAAGGAGAAGGAGAGGGAGAAGAAGGAAGAGAAGAAGAAGAAGGAAAAGAAGAAGGAGGAGGAGGAGGAGGAGAAGGAGAGGGAGAAGAAGGAGGAGAAGAAGAAGGAAAAGAAGGAGGGGGGGGGAGGAGGAGGAGGAGGAGGAGGAGAAGGAGAAGGAGAAAGGAGGUGGAGGGGCUGGGCAGCCACACCAGGCUCCCAGCAACAGCCUUCAUGGCCCAGACAGUGUACAGACAGCAAAGCAACUCAGACUCUCCUAUUGGUUGGCUCCCCACUCUGGGACUUUCAUUGGCCAAAGUCCUUGAUGUCACUUGUUUCUGAGGCUCCCAGAAAGCAAGACCAUGUGUGUAAAGCAUCAGGUACACAGGAGAGCCAUCAGUAGCAGCUCUUCCCCCGAGACUUUUGGCUUUCUUACCAGUGACAUCUCCUUAGAGAGCCCUUCCUGACGAACCCUCUCUAACGGGCCCUCCCCAGCACCCCCCACCCCCACCCCCACCAUAGCUCUUCGGCUGCAUUUCUUUCCCUUAGAACAUUUGCUGCCACCUUAGUUGUUUUCUGCCUCUAGAAUGGGAGCCAGGGAUGCAAUGCAAGUCUUAUUCUCUGCUCCUUCCCCAGCUCUCCCACAAAACUUGGCUCUCAGUAAUCAUUGUGGAGGGAAUGGAUGACACCUGUCAUUCUACAAAAACUAAAACACACCAACAAGAUGAUGAUGAUGAUGAUGAUAGCAGCUAACUCUCACUUGGCAUGGAUCAUGUGCUAGGCAUUGGUCUAAGUGCUCUACUUAAUUUACCUUAGUCUUACAAAUCCCAAUGAGGUAGGUACCAUUAUUAUCCCCAUCUGAUAGAUGAAGACAUAGAAAACUUAAAUGGUUUGCUCAAACUCAUAGUAAGUGGUGGAGGCGGGAUGUGAAGUCAGCCAGCCUCCAGAGUCUGUAUUUUUGACCAGAUCAUGGGAAAUGUAUUUAACAAACAUUCAUGGAUUCCUGCACCUGGCAACACCCAGCCCCUCUUCUUGAGAAGCUUCUAGUCUGCUGGGAAGCUCCCAGCCUGGCCUCCAGGAGGAGCUUAGAAAAUGUCUCAUAAAUAAAAAAGGCUUCUCUUUCCAUCUUCCUGCCCUCAAGCCUUGUUUAAAAAAAAAAAAAAAAACACCUUUGAAAGCACCUGUAUCCAUCAUUGCUUUUCAGAUUUGAUAACUCGAGGAAGCCCUAGAGUACAUCUGAGGUCCACUAUUUGAGAAAUGCUGUCUGAAAGAGUGAAGUCAGUCUAUGAAAACAUCUCUCAAAUGUGAGUCAUGUCUGCAGAUGAGAGCCUGGCUUGGUAGCUG
This 9969-nucleotide long non-coding RNA is filed under the name Lynx pardinus (Iberian lynx). Lineage: Eukaryota; Metazoa; Chordata; Mammalia; Carnivora; Felidae. The record is from RNAcentral.